Molecule: ribosomal RNA, 279 nt
Filed under: uncultured bacterium
Lineage: Bacteria
Description: partial 16S ribosomal RNA
Rfam family: Bacterial small subunit ribosomal RNA
Source: RNAcentral
UGCCAGCCGCCGCGGUAAUACGGAGGGGGUUAGCGUUGCUCGGAAUUACUGGGCGUAAAGCGCACGUAGGCGGACUGGAAAGUAUGGGGUGAAAUCCCAGGGCUCAACCCUGGAACUGCCUCAUAAACUAUCAGUCUAGAGUUCGAGAGAGGUGAGUGGAAUUCCGAGUGUAGAGGUGAAAUUCGUAGAUAUUCGGAGGAACACCAGUGGCGAAGGCGGCUUUCUGGACCAAUACUGACGCUGAGAUGCGAAAGCGUGGGGAGCGAACAGGAUUAGAUA